UUUAGAACUGAUAGAGCUAUCCAGUAUAAAUAAAGUUAGUUUAGUUUAGGUUUCCUCCUGUAGUGACACUGGAUCAAUAAGAGAUGAUCCUUACUGGACCUCUAGGAAGAACAGUUUAGAACUGAUAGAGCUAUCCAGUAUAAAUAAAGUUAGUUUAGUUUAGGUUCCCUCCUGUAGUAACACUGGAUCAAUAAGAGAUGAUCCUUACUGGACCUCUAGGAAGAACAGUUUAGAACUGAUAUAUCCAGUAUAAAUAAAGUUAGUUUAGUUUAGGUUUCCUCCUGUAGUAACACUGGAUCAAUAAGAGAUGAUCCUUACUGGACCUCUAGGAAGAACAGUUUAGAACUGAUAGAGCUAUCCAGUAUAAAUAAAGUUAAUUUAGUUUAAGUUUCCUCCUGUAGUAACACUGGAUCAAUAAGA
Paramuricea clavata is the source of this 420-nucleotide non-coding RNA. NCBI's taxonomy places the organism in Eukaryota, Metazoa, Cnidaria, Anthozoa, Malacalcyonacea, Plexauridae. The record is from the annotation of a GenBank genome assembly.